Molecule: ribosomal RNA, 428 nt
Filed under: Verrucomicrobiota bacterium
Lineage: Bacteria; Pseudomonadati; Verrucomicrobiota
Description: Verrucomicrobia bacterium partial 16S ribosomal RNA
Rfam family: Bacterial small subunit ribosomal RNA
Source: RNAcentral
UAGGGAAUCUUCCGCAAUGGACGAAAGUCUGACGGAGCAACGCCGCGUGAGUGAAGAAGGAUUUCGGUUCGUAAAACUCUGUUGUUAGGGAAGAAAAAAUGUAUAGUAACUAUAUACAAAAGAGACGGUACUUAACCAGAAAGGGACGGCUAACUACGUGCCAGCAGCCGCGGUAAUACGUAGGUCCCGAGCGUUGUCCGGAUUUAUUGGGCGUAAAGCGAGCGCAGGCGGUUAGAAAAGUCUGAAGUGAAAGGCAGUGGCUCAACCAUUGUAGGCUUUGGAAACUGUUUAACUUGAGUGCAGAAGGGGAGAGUGGAAUUCCAUGUGUAGCGGUGAAAUGCGUAGAUAUAUGGAGGAACACCGGUGGCGAAAGCGGCUCUCUGGUCUGUAACUGACGCUGAGGCUCGAAAGCGUGGGGAGCGAACAGG